GAGCGGCGGCGGUGGAGGAUG
This 21-nucleotide microRNA is filed under the name Glycine max (soybean). RNAcentral's name for it is "gma-miR4993". The record is from miRBase by way of RNAcentral. Lineage: Eukaryota; Viridiplantae; Streptophyta; Magnoliopsida; Fabales; Fabaceae.